RNAcentral lists this long non-coding RNA (594 nucleotides) under Vigna radiata. RNAcentral describes it as "long non-coding RNA (VRAD_LNC017539)". The record is from RNAcentral. Lineage: Eukaryota; Viridiplantae; Streptophyta; Magnoliopsida; Fabales; Fabaceae.
CAGGAAUUUAAUAUGUAAAAUAUAGAAUUAAUUCUAGUUCACGCGUGAAGAAAGAAAAGUAAAGGAAAACUUUUGGAGCAAUCGUGUGCAGCUUAACCGUGACAUUGCUAGAAAAUAAACCAAUUGAAAAAUGUGUUUCUUCCUCGGUGGCGGAUGCACCUCCAAAUUGAAUAAGCACUUCCUUUUUUUUUUCUCCAAAAAUAAAGUUGCAUCAAUGUAUCAGCAUCCACUUCGUGUAGCUUAGAAAGAUGUGGCAGCUAGCAUUCAAUCCGUGAGCUCUUGUGGAAGCUUUUCUCCAGCCAAAUCAAAUCACUGCAACGUGUUGAAUAAAUGAAGAUAGAAUCAUUUAAUCACAAGCAAAGAAAAUGAAAAUUAAUCUAGAGCUCUCAUUGAAUAAAAAAGUUCAAAACAUUGCUUCAUCCUAGCACCUAAAACAUUCAAGAAAGCUAAGCUAAUCCGUUGGAAGCUCCUUGCCAUUGUUCAAAGCAAAUUUUCUUUUUAAAUACAAGUGGCGGCUGGUACUAGGAAUCUCUCCUAGGGUAACGUGCCUACAUUCUUAAGCACACAUGUAGGUUCUUGGAUGCAGCAACCUGC